This is a long non-coding RNA of Tachysurus fulvidraco (yellow catfish), 814 nucleotides long. RefSeq lists it as uncharacterized. The record is from RefSeq and is a predicted model, not a curated record. The transcript is spliced from 2 exons. Lineage: Eukaryota; Metazoa; Chordata; Actinopteri; Siluriformes; Bagridae.
AGAACCCUAGACGGAAGUGUUCCAAGUAGAAACUUUUGAUGAAGCCAAGAAAUAGGAACUACCCCAAGGACCCUUUUUAGGACCUGUUUGCACUAAACGAAGAAAUCAUCCAACAGGAUUAGACAUCAGUUGUUCUCCAGUCUUGUGAUUCUCCAUUUUCUCAGCUCCAUGAUCCAGUUAGUUAAUGAGUGCAAGUUAAUUAGGAGACAGAGGAGCCACUCCACUGAGAGGGAGAGAAAAUCCGUUAAGAGUUAAUCACUUAAUGUCCCAAUUGCCCAAUUCAAUUACACCGAGCGCGCUCUGUUCCAACACAGGCGAUGUUAAUGAAACACAGCCGCUCUGACUGGGAGAGUGAAAGAGGAACAAUAAGGAAUCGAGUCAUUAGCGCCACUCUUUUCAUAACGAUACAAGAUCUCAUUUUAUGUCUCUCUAACACACACAGUGAUCAAACAAAUGAAGUGUGGUAUUCAUUAUGUUUGUCAGCAGGUCAUCCUCAUCAGAAUCUGAAUGAAAGCAGGAUCUUUUUUCCCUCACAAGACGUGAAGGAGGAUGUGUUGUGUUCUCAUGGUGAAAGAAUGCUCUGUUUUUGAACCCUGUUAUUUUGCGUGAGGAGAAGUGCAGCUCCUGACCGAGGUUACCAACUGUGUUUUUGUGUAUGUGUGUGAGAGACUGAGCAAGUCAAUGUCGGAACUCUUGCAAAAGAUGAGGAUGAGACUAUAGUGCACACCAUGGUAAAAUCUAGUAAAAUCUCCUACCACAAACAAUGAACAUUCACCUGAACUCCAGGCUCAUAGUAAACAAGACUUUAUAAACA